AUUGAACGCUGGCGGCAUGCUUUACACAUGCAAGUCGAACGGUAACAGGGAGCUUGCUCCGCUGACGAGUGGCGAACGGGUGAGUAAUAUAUCGGAACGUACCCAAGAGUGGGGGAUAACGUAGCGAAAGUUACGCUAAUACCGCAUACGAUCCAAGGAUGAAAGUGGGGGACCGCAAGGCCUCAUGCUCCUGGAGCGGCCGAUAUCUGAUUAGCUAGUUGGUGAGGUAAAGGCUCACCAAGGCAACGAUCAGUAGCUGGUCUGAGAGGACGACCAGCCACACUGGGAGUGAGACACGGCCCAGACUCCUACGGGAGGCAGCAGUGGGGAAUUUUGGACAAUGGGGGCAACCCUGAUCCAGCAAUGCCGCGUGAGUGAAGAAGGCCUUCGGGUUGUAAAGCUCUUUUGUCAGGGAAGAAACGGGAGUGGCUAAUAUCCAUUUCUAAUGACGGUACCUGAAGAAUAAGCACCGGCUAACUACGUGCCAGCCGCCGCGGUAA
This 500-nucleotide ribosomal RNA is filed under the name uncultured bacterium. RNAcentral's name for it is "partial 16S ribosomal RNA". It matches the Rfam family "Bacterial small subunit ribosomal RNA", at positions 30 to 523 of the family's 1533-position model. The record is from RNAcentral.